Molecule: long non-coding RNA, 253 nt
Filed under: Glycine max (soybean)
Lineage: Eukaryota; Viridiplantae; Streptophyta; Magnoliopsida; Fabales; Fabaceae
Description: long non-coding RNA (GMAX_LNC002840)
Source: RNAcentral
GGCCUUUUUUGUAUACCAAAAUUUUGCAAAUGAUUAUAAAAUUUCAUCUCGUAGAGGCGCCCACACUUUUUCGAUUUCACGUGGCAGUGUACCAUAUCUUAAACUGCCCAAAGCUGAUAGAAAUGCCAAUUCAGGAGCAGAAUAAGUGGUAGAAGACUCCAGGAAGUUGACUGAAGCACAAGAGACCUGAUAGUGAAUGGCUUAAGUUUUUCCAAGAAGUGCCAACCUAAUGUAGAGGGACAUCAAAAACUGC